AGGUAUCUCAAAAAUUUAAUAUCAGCAUAUUAUGGAUCAUCUGAGCGACCAGAUCAUAACUGAAUACUGCCAAGAAUUUCUAUGCUUCUGUUUACAUUUGUGUUUUUUAUUCAUUAAUAUCUAGCAACACCACUGUCAUUAUCAUGGGCUAAUAAGAAAAGAGCACAGAUAUUUUCACACCAAACGAAGGCCAAGCAAUGACCUGGUCCUGCUGUCAAAAGCUUUCCCAGGGGAUUGAAGGGAUAAAUAAGAGGGAAUUGAGUCAUCACAAGGCAUGCAGUGGCACAGCCGAGCUGAACUCCAGAAUACCCAAAAUAUAGCAGUCAGUGCUGCGUUCCUGUCACAGCUUAGCUUCAGGAAAAUAGCACCUGUUAAAUCUUAUAUUCAUGUACUUUGGCUGUGAGAGCAGCGGCAAUGUAUAUUGACUGAAACUCAAAUAGGUCAUUCCUACAUACUUGAAAACCUUCUGCUUCUGAUCAGUGGAUAUCGCCCUGAGAACUGGAUCCCCACCCAGACUGGCUCCUUGUAAAUGGAAAUAAAAUUUCUGGAAAUAAAAUCGCAUGUGAUCACAACCCCAAAGGAUGCU
Molecule: long non-coding RNA, 586 nt
Organism: Cervus elaphus (red deer)
Lineage: Eukaryota; Metazoa; Chordata; Mammalia; Artiodactyla; Cervidae
Exons: 3
Source: RefSeq, a predicted model, not a curated record